CAGAAACCCUCCUUUUCUAUCUGAUCUUUGGCUCUGGCAAUGUGGAGGCUAAGAAAAAUUUUAUUAGGGAGCAGCCCUUCUUGUGAACUUUUGCACAGAUCUGCUACGAGUCAUUUUUAUAAAUCAGCGGGUAGACGUGUGUGUUAUUUUAAUAUGGCGGAACUGACCAAGUUCCUCUUCUUCUGAUGUGUUGUUUUUUUUUUUCUCUUUCUCUCUAUUUUUCCCAUACCUCUCCAAUUUUUACAUGAAGCUUUCUCUCAAGCUGGGUGCAACACCGGAGGAUUUCAGCAACCUCCCACCUGAACAAAGAAGGAAAAAGCUGCAGCAGAAAGUCGAUGAGUUAAAUAAAGAAAUUCAGAAGGAGAUGGAUCAAAGAGAUGCCAUAACAAAAAUGAAAGAUGUCUACCUAAAGAAUCCUCAGAUGGGAGACCCAGCCAGUUUGGAUCACAAAUUAGCAGAAGUCAGCCAAGUUGAAGGCCGGCUCCCAGCACGCAGUGAGCAGGCGCGCCGGCAGAGCGGACUGUACGACAGCCAGAACCCACCCACAGUCAACAACUGCGCCCAGGACCGCGAGAGCCCAGAUGGCAGUUACACAGAGGAGCAGACUCAGGAGAGUGAGGUGAAGGUGCUGGCCACGGAUUUUGACGACGAGUUUGAUGAUGAGGAGCCCCUCCCUGCCAUAGGG
Molecule: small RNA, 685 nt
Filed under: Pongo abelii (Sumatran orangutan)
Lineage: Eukaryota; Metazoa; Chordata; Mammalia; Primates; Hominidae
Description: processed transcript
Source: RNAcentral